This 920-nucleotide ribosomal RNA is filed under the name uncultured bacterium. RNAcentral describes it as "bacterial SSU rRNA". It matches the Rfam family "Bacterial small subunit ribosomal RNA", at positions 33 to 935 of the family's 1533-position model. The record is from RNAcentral.
ACGCUGGCGGCGUGCCUAAUACAUGCAAGUAGAACGCUGAAGCUUGGUGCUUGCACCGAGCGGAUGAGUUGCGAACGGGUGAGUAACGCGUAGGUAACCUGCCUCUUAGCGGGGGAUAACUAUUGGAAACGAUAGCUAAUACCGCAUAAAAGUCGACAUCGCAUGAUGUUGACUUGAAAGGUGCAAUUGCAUCACUAAGAGAUGGACCUGCGUUGUAUUAGCUAGUUGGUGAGGUAACGGCUCACCAAGGCGACGAUACAUAGCCGACCUGAGAGGGUGAUCGGCCACACUGGGACUGAGACACGGCCCAGACUCCUACGGGAGGCAGCAGUAGGGAAUCUUCGGCAAUGGGGGCAACCCUGACCGAGCAACGCCGCGUGAGUGAAGAAGGUUUUCGGAUCGUAAAGCUCUGUUGUAAGAGAAGAACGAGUGUGAGAGUGGAAAGUUCACACUGUGACGGUAACUUACCAGAAAGGGACGGCUAACUACGUGCCAGCAGCCGCGGUAAUACGUAGGUCCCGAGCGUUAUCCGGAUUUAUUGGGCGUAAAGCGAGCGCAGGCGGUUAGAUAAGUCUGAAGUUAAAGGCUGUGGCUUAACCAUAGUACGCUUUGGAAACUGUUUAACUUGAGUGCAGAAGGGGAGAGUGGAAUUCCAUGUGUAGCGGUGAAAUGCGUAGAUAUAUGGAGGAACACCGGUGGCGAAAGCGGCUCUCUGGUCUGUAACUGACGCUGAGGCUCGAAAGCGUGGGGAGCAAACAGGAUUAGAUACCCUGGUAGUCCACGCCGUAAACGAUGAGUGCUAGGUGUUGGGUCCUUUCCGGGACUCAGUGCCGCAGCUAAUGCAUUAAGCACUCCGCCUGGGGAGUACGACCGCAAGGUUGAAACUCAAAGGAAUUGACGGGGGCCCGCACAAGCGGUGG